GUCCGUGUGUGUGAACCGCUCAUCCCUUGCAUACCUGCUCCUUCCCUCUUCCUCUGGAUAUGUAUACAUAUAUGAUGUGUUUAUAUAUGUAUAUGCGCAUUCUCAGCUUUUCGUUGUUUUGUUUUUUUAAUUUUUUAGUGACGUGCACUGCUGGAUUUUCUCAGGCUGAUUUUCUCACAGGGGAGAAUACUCCUCUUUUUUUUGUUGUUGUUGUUGUUUUGGUUUUUAAGCGGCUGCGGCAUCCCAGCACCUGUUUUUCCCUUCCUGCAUGCGUGAAAACCUUCCUACCUGCCUACCUCUCCCCUAAACCCCCUCCACCCCACCCCCAGAACAUCUCCCCUUGCAAUCCCGCUCUCCAGCCCCCAGGAAAAGGAGCUUCAGCUGGGGCAGAUAGCUUCGGCAGGACCCCCUGUUCACCCUUGGAUGGAGAAUAGCGAGAACUGACGGAAUUAAGAGAACAGUAAAAACCAGGAUAUACGCUUGUUUUUUCUCUGCUAGGGCGAGAAUGUGAGGAAAAAGAACGAAGCUAAAGAUAAUUUGCUGCUUAAUGUCAAUAGUUUUGAAGAAAUAGACUGUGCUUCGUGCUACUGGGUAAUUGUUGUAUGUGAUCUGAUGCUUGUGGCUGUAACUGAUGUGUUUUGAAAUAUUAUUAUUAUUAUUAUUAUUUUCCAAAAUACAUGUACAUGUUCUCUGUAACGUAUGCAUUUAUCAGCUUCAAUGUCAUUGUCAGCUUCAACUCAUUUUAUGUGAUGUGAUUUUUACUGUAUUUGUUUUUACUUGCCGUAUAGGUGCUCAUAUGCUGAGAGAGAGUGAGAGAAAUAAAAGACAGAGAGAGAGGUGGGGAGAGAGGGGGAGAGAACAGACUGUCAUAGGGAAGCGCUAGCUUUACAUUGUGAUGCUGGCAGCCGUCUCAUCAUGGCGGUAGACGUGCUGAAUGGACGAGGGGGAGAGCAGAGCAUAGCUUUGCAUCUUCACUUAUCCUUCACGCAUUGCUUUGCUGGUCCUCUUUGUUUGGCCGAGAGAGGGAAAAGGUCUAAUGGAAUGAAACAGAAGGCAAGGUGCCAGGGCUUCUUGCAGAAUGUGUACAACAAAAGGUAGAUCCUCUUUAUCUCUCUCUCUCUAUCCCUCUCUCUCUCUUGUAAUUUUUCAGGAAAUGUAUUCGGUACAGAGUCCAGCUAGAAUUGUGGGUUAGGUCUGAAUGUUUUUAAAAGGGAUCUUUUUGUGUAUGUGUGUAAAAUAUGACCAUGAGAAACACUGUGUUGCACUGUCAUGUAUGUUUUGUCCUUAACACACAUCUAGGCCAAUCGAAGAGGAGAAUAAUGCAAUUGAAAUCUUGCAGGCACAGGGAGAAUCCUCGGAAAGAUGUGCGAUAGUGCGUUUGUAAGUGUUUGUGAGUGUGUGAGUGUGAUUGUGCACGAUUAGUACUUCUUGUUUGGACUGCACUAACACCAGCGAAGCCCACAUCAGAUGCAGAAGGAGGAGGACAGGUGAGAAGGAAGGAAUUUUAGAUGAGUACGGAAACAUGGUAUUGUACUGAAGGACAACAACAGACUAUGAAGAAUGCAUAGGGACCAAAUACAGAACCGGCAGAGAUACUGAAGUGCACGACUGAACCGUUAGCCAUGAAAACAGACCAGACUGCAGAAACAGACUGAACGGAGAGAGUUUGUAGGAAAAGACAAAGUGGACGACGUUCGGAAACUUGGGUUUUUGCUCUUUGUGUUCACAGUGGACCUUGAUUUAAUUUCAAUACAAUUAAGGCACGCGGUGAAUGCCAAGAGAGAAGCCAACAGCAGCACUCACCUGAGCGACCGAUCGACGGGACAAAGUCAUGUUUAGUAUGGACACUAUGGUUGCAUACUAGACAUCAUGUGUGCACAAUAAAACAAAAACACUGCACCAUCACACUGCCAACCCCUAUCUGAUAUCAUGCAACCAGCUAAUCCCUUUAAACAUGCCAAACACUUAAGUGGACCAUCGAAUAUUCAUUAAAUUAAACAAAAACACAUGAACACGGGCCUAAUAUGCAUAUAAUGAUUAAGGCAUGGCUGUAUCUCUUCCAAACCAUGAGAUUAUAUUAAGUGGCAAUGCUGUGCAAAAAUCGAAAAAUGCAAAGGUUGCAUUAUGACCUACAUUUCACAACACAAGCCAUCAUUACAAGCAAUGGAGUGUAAUAUGCAAACACAGUGUAGUGGGUAUGGGAUUAAGGGCUUUAAACAUCACCCAUAAAAUUUGUGCAGAUUUUUUUUAAAGACUAUAAUAUUUCACAAUUCUCUCAUUUCUUACACCACUGCCCAAACCAUGUGACGCAGCGAAUUAAGAGUAAGAUCAGGCGCCUGUUGCAAUUAACUACUUAAGUUAAGAAAAUCUUAACUAGGGUAUUAUUAAGGUUUGUUACAACCUGCUACUGCCCAUUUUAAACAGGAGAAGAGUACAAACACCAACACACAAGGCCUUAUGUACCCUGUACCCUAGUUAGGAUUUACCCUAAGAUUUACCUAAUACCCUAGAUAAACAACGUCACGUUCCUGCCAUUCAAAUCAAGCUGGCAGUAAUAAAUCACCUAUCUGCUCUAGGCACGUGGCGCAGAUGUUUAGAGGGGUCAAAGUUUACGUAUUUAUUUAUGACUAAUGAUGAAUUUUACUCACAAAAGAAAGGCAAAGAGGGUCUGGAAUGAGGCGCUGCCCCUUAGGCUAAAUUUCCGUCGAUGGAACACAACUGAGAAGACAAUAAAAGCAAAUAUUAAUCACUCUGACAGUCAUUCAGAUUGCAUAUGACGUUGCUGGUGUUGAAUUGUAAGCUUAUAUAGAUUUACAACGAGUGUUUUUCAAACAAACCUUUGAGACGUAUUCAUUUUUUUCCACACUUCCAUAUUUGUUCUUAUGACGACUUCAAAUCUUGAUCACCACGAAGGACCAUUUUGCACAACAGCAUUGCAUUUUUGCAUGAUAAAAAAAAUAUUUUACAAUUGCAGUGUGAUUUAGAGGAACGUUAUCUUAGACUUUAACCAUGUUGAGGUUACGUGCUACACUCGAUUCUGCAAACCCAUAACGAUCAGGAAUAAGUUAAAUAUUUUUGACGUAUAACAAUUGUAUUUUGUAUAAAAGAAUAAUGGAUUAUUAUAAAACGAGAAGCAUUUGAAUUAAAACAUUUCAACAAUAGCCUAAAAUUUUAGUGUGUCUAGCUAUUAUGUCUCUGGAAAAACAUAUUUACAAAUAAUACGAAUUGAAUUAAUUAAUUGUUUUUAUUUAUUUAUUUAGCCCUAUAGUAUUUCAAAAUCCUCUACAAGGAGAAAUAAAAAACAGAGAUAUGACAAAUAUGCGUGAGGAUUAGCAAAUGUAAAACAUCUUAAUAUAAUUUUAAAUUAAGAGCAAAUUACAAUUAAUAAAUGUUUUAAAUAAAUUAAUUUUGAUGAUUUCUUUGUUAUAUAAAUAAAUAUACAAAUAGCCAAUGCUUAUAAAGAGAAGGAUCAUUUAAAU
This is a long non-coding RNA of Carassius carassius (crucian carp), 3479 nucleotides long. RefSeq lists it as uncharacterized. Lineage: Eukaryota; Metazoa; Chordata; Actinopteri; Cypriniformes; Cyprinidae. The record is from RefSeq and is a predicted model, not a curated record. The transcript is spliced from 2 exons.